Molecule: ribosomal RNA, 499 nt
Filed under: uncultured bacterium
Lineage: Bacteria
Description: partial 16S ribosomal RNA
Rfam family: Bacterial small subunit ribosomal RNA
Source: RNAcentral
GAUGAACGCUGGCGGCGUGCCUAAUACAUGCAAGUCGAGCGGAAAGACGCGAGUGCUGGCGCUCGCUCGCGUGGGCGGCGGACGGGUAAGUCACGCGUAACUAACCUUCCUAUAAGGCUGAGAUUACGUCGAGAAAGCGGAACUACUACCGGGUAAUCUUGAGCUUCGCAUGGAGCAAUAGAGAAAGACGGUUCUGGUAUCACUUAUAGAUGGACCCGCGGUGUAUUGGCUAGUUGGUGAGGUAACGGCUCACCAAGGCAACGAGACAUAGCCGACCGGAGAGGGUGAUCGGCCACCCUGGGACUGAGACACGGCCCAGACUCCUACGGGAGGCAGCAGUAGGGAAUCUGCCGCAAAGGUCGAAAGUCUUACGGAGCAAUGCCGCGUGAGUGAAGAAGGUUUUCGGAUCGUAAUACUCUGUUGUAAGGGAAGAACAAGUACGUUAGUAACUGAACGUACCUUGACGGUACCUUAUCAGAAAGCCACGGCUAACUACGUG